Long non-coding RNA from Myotis daubentonii (Daubenton's bat), 1927 nucleotides. RefSeq lists it as uncharacterized. The record is from RefSeq and is a predicted model, not a curated record. NCBI's taxonomy places the organism in Eukaryota, Metazoa, Chordata, Mammalia, Chiroptera, Vespertilionidae.
CGGGGCCCGGCCGGGGCCUCGGCGACGGGGAGGCGCAGUCCUGAGCGCAAAGCUCCAUUGUUAAUAUAAAAACACCCGGGCCUGCCUCUCCUGAGCGGAAAACCACCUGUGUGCGGCCGGCGGCGCUGGGGCGGGGAGGGGGGGCCGAGGCCGGAAGGCGCGGGCCCUAAUCCGGCCUCCCCUCCCUAACCCCGGGCGGAGAAGAGGCCGCUCAUUGUGCGGCCGCCGCCAGGGAGGCGGAAGCGGGGGCAGUGGCUUGGCCGGGCCGGGAGCGGCUGUUCCGAGCGCCCCUCCCGGCGCUCUGUGCCCAUCGCAAGUGUAACGGAGGGCACCUGAGGUCGUGGGGUCUUCCUCAGCCAGACUCCCGCACCCACGGGCCGGCCUGCUGACGCCCCGCUCCGACUUGCAUUUGCAGUCACCCGCCUCUCCCCUGGUUUGGGGAAUGUAAGCUAAAAAAAGCAGGCUGCUCGCGAGGCCCAGGUUGCCAAGUUUGGAGCGCUGCCGCGGGCGGGCGGCCCCUGGAGGAGCGUGUGCGGCGAAGGCGGGGGUGGCCGAGCUCCUCUCCCCGCUCCUUUUUUGGGCAUGCCUUGGAACAAAACCCCCAUAUUUCACUGGAUAUUCCCCCGUCCCAGCUGGGGGAGGCCUGCGCUGGGUUUGACGCCUCCGGUCCGCCCCCACCUGUUACAGGCGUUACCAACCCAAGGCGUUCCAGUCCCUGGGGCCUGGAGGCGAGGACGGGGGCGGCCGGGGGCCCUGCUGUAGAACUGAGAAGAGCGGACUCUCAGCCGGGACCUCCCGCAGGAAAGGAGGGAAGAACACUGGUUUCUAUUUAAUUUUGUAUUGACUUCAGAGAGGAAGGGAGAGAGAGAAACAUCAAUGAAGAGAGAGAAUCAUUGGUUGGCUGCCUCCUGCACGCCCCCCACUGGGAGCCGGCAGCCGGGGCGUGUGCCCUUGACCGGAAUCCAACCGGGACCCUUCAGGCUGCAGGCCCAGGCUCCAUCCACUGAACCAAAUUGGCGAGGGCUCUAUUUUGCUAUUUUAAAAACGCGGUUACCUGAACCUGGCCAUAAAUUUGGGAGGAUAAUCGCAACACUUUGCAAACUCGAAGAUGGAAACAUUUAGUCUGACCCGUGCUUCUGAAGGCUGUCGCAGCCGAAUGUCUGUCCUUCUCGUCGCGUUUUCCAAAACGGCAGCGCCCUCCCCUGCGGCGCGGGGUCCCCGCGGAGCACCGGUCGGGCCGCCAGGUCCGAAAACAGGCGCCGUAAACCGCCUCUGAGCCGGGCGGCCCGGGUUUAAAUUGUGCCCCAGUCGCUUCCUAAACAUUCUACCGUGGUUAAAUCUUCUAACUGUUCUACGCCGCAGUCUCCCACGGUGGCAAAAUGAAGAUAAAAAUAUCUGCGAUGAUUGGAUGGGUAAAACGAAAUGCCCUAACAUGGUGUGCUGUUAGCUGUUGAUACUGUUUUUAUCGCUCUGAAUUCCGAACCUGUACAGAGGCCUGAGUCCUUUCCAUCCCAAAGACCCCCUUCGCGGGCUGCCUCACAGCUCGCCUGGAAUCGGCUGGUCUACAGAGAAACCCUCUGCGGAACUGCCCUGAGCAGUUGAAUCCAUCCCAACCCGCUGCCAAGCAAAGCAGGUGCUGUUACAGACCAGGGUCAAAACCCUUUAACUGGGUUAACGGACAGGAAGUACCCAGAGGAAUGACUUUGCCUGAGGUUACACAUUAGGAAAUGGUGGGGCCAGGAUUUGAGACCAGACCUUUCAGGAUUAACCACAUAAAUGUUCCAGAAAGCAGCAGUGAACAAAACAAAGAAUGCCUGCCUUCCCAGAGCUUGCAUCCUAUUGAGGACAGACAAUCGAUUACAGAAAUAAUUCUACAGUAUAUUAGAAAGUGAAAGUGCUAUGGAGAAAAAUAAAGCAAGGAAGGGAA